MicroRNA precursor from Nicotiana attenuata, 91 nucleotides. It matches the Rfam family "mir-395 microRNA precursor family". Rfam says of the family: mir-395 was identified in both Arabidopsis thaliana and Oryza sativa computationally and was later experimentally verified. mir-395 is thought to target mRNAs coding for ATP sulphurylases. The record is from Rfam. NCBI's taxonomy places the organism in Eukaryota, Viridiplantae, Streptophyta, Magnoliopsida, Solanales, Solanaceae.
GUGUUCUCUAGAGUUCCCCUGAACGCUUCAUGAGGCUUCUUGUAGAAUAUAAUAGCCCUCUUGAAGUGUUUGGGGGAACUCCCGUGUUCAC